Uranotaenia lowii is the source of this 3246-nucleotide RNA transcript. It is a transcript of the gene named glutamate receptor ionotropic, kainate 2-like, with no coding region annotated. The record is from RefSeq and is a predicted model, not a curated record. NCBI's taxonomy places the organism in Eukaryota, Metazoa, Arthropoda, Insecta, Diptera, Culicidae. The transcript is spliced from 13 exons.
CUGUUGAAGCAGAUCAAAAACUCCGCUGAGUCGCACAUCGUGCUGGACUGUACGAUCGAGAAGAUCUACGAGGUGCUCAAGCAAGCUCAACAGAUUGGGAUGAUGAGCGAUUAUCAUAGCUAUCUGAUCACGUCACUGGACCUGCACACCAUCAGCCUGGACGAGUUCAAAUACGGCGGCACCAACAUCACGGCCUUCCGCCUGGUGGACCCGGAAAACCCGGAAGUCGCCCAAGCCAUCCACAGCUGGACUCAGGGCGAAGCCCGUCUGGGAAAACGGAUCGACUUCAAAACCACGGAAAACGUGACCGUUAUUAAGGCGGAAACGGCCCUGAUGUACGAUGCGGUGCACUUGUUCGCCAAAGCGUUGCACGAUCUGGACACCAGCCAGCAGAUUGACAUCCACCCGCUCUCUUGCGAUACCCAGGACACCUGGCCGCACGGUUACAGUUUGAUCAAUUACAUGAAAAUCGUGGAAAUGCGCGGCCUAACGGACGUCAUCAAAUUCGACCAUCAGGGCUUCCGGUCCGAUUUUGUGCUGGACAUCGUGGAGCUCGGGCCACAAGGUUUGCGUAAAUCCGGUACCUGGAAUUCGACUUCCGGUGUCAACUUCACCCGGACCUAUGGAGAGCAGCAGAAGGAAAUUGUGGAAAUUCUGCAGAACAAAACGCUGAUUGUGACGACAAUUUUGAGUUCGCCCUACUGUAUGCGGAAGGAUUCGGCCGAGAAGUUGACGGGCAAUUCCCAGUUCGAGGGGUAUGCCAUCGAUUUGAUUCAUGAGAUUUCGAGGAUACUGGGAUUCAACUAUAGUAUCCGGCUGGCGCCGGAUGGGAAAUACGGAGGUCUCAGCAAGGAAACUGGCGAAUGGGACGGCAUGAUCAAGGAGCUGUUGGAGCAGCGGGCGGACCUCGCAAUCGCCGACCUCACCAUCACCUUCGAGCGGGAACAGGUGGUGGACUUCACGAUGCCAUUCAUGAACCUGGGCAUCUCGGUGCUGUACCGGAAACCAGUCAAACAACCACCGAAUCUGUUCUCGUUCCUGUCGCCCCUGUCGCUGGACGUGUGGAUCUACAUGGCCACGGCCUAUCUCGGCGUCUCGGUGCUGCUCUUCAUCCUGGCACGGUUCACCCCAUACGAGUGGCCGACGCCGAAUCCCUGUGAUCCCCAUCCGGAGAAGCUGCAGACCCAGUUUACCCUGAUGAAUUGUAUGUGGUUCGCGAUCGGAUCCCUGAUGCAACAGGGUUGCGACUUUCUGCCCAAAGCCGUAUCGACGCGAAUGGUCGCCGGAAUGUGGUGGUUCUUUACCCUGAUCAUGAUCAGUUCGUACACUGCCAACUUGGCCGCUUUCCUGACAGUCGAAAGGAUGGAUUCGCCCAUCGAAAGUGCCGAAGAUUUGGCCAAGCAAACCAAAAUCAAGUACGGAGCCCUGAAAGGUGGCAGCACGGCUUCCUUCUUUAGGGAUUCAAACUUCUCCACCUAUCAGCGGAUGUGGUCCUUCAUGGAGUCGACGAGGCCGUCCGUUUUCACGUUUUCGAACGUCGAGGGUGUCGAUAGGGUUGUCAAGGGUAAAGGAAGCUACGCGUUUCUAAUGGAAUCGACCUCGAUCGAGUACGUCAUCGAGAGGAACUGCGAGCUGACCCAGGUCGGUGGGUUGUUGGACUCGAAGGGUUACGGAAUUGCGAUGCCACCGAAUUCCCCAUUCCGAACGGCCAUCAGUGGGGCUGUACUAAAGCUGCAAGAAGAAGGCAAACUACACAUUUUGAAAACUCGCUGGUGGAAGGAGAAGCGAGGCGGAGGAUCUUGUAGGGAUGAGACCUCCAAAUCGAGUUCCACCGCCAACGAGCUGGGCCUGGCCAAUGUAGGGGGCGUGUUCGUGGUGCUGAUGGGCGGCAUGGGCGUGGCUUGCGUAAUAGCUGUGUGCGAGUUUGUGUGGAAGUCCCGGAAAGUGGCCGUCGAAGAACGGGAACCCUACCAAAAGAAACAUCCCAAAGAGUGUAGGUUCGAGUGAGAUACGACAAACUUAGGAUUUCACCCACUAUAGGGCCCUUCCGGUUGUACAAAACACUUAGUUGAGUUGAGCGAGGAAAAAACGAAAAUCCUGUAGGACCAACAAUAGAAAAAAACGUGGAAGAAUCGGUUUAACUUUGGACUUCAACCUUAAUCAACAAACAAAAAAAUAUAUAUACAAAAACGAAUAGGACACACAAUUUUAGAAUUUCAGGAUUUUUUAUUCUUCAAACUCACUGUGUAAAUUCACACUGAUCAAAAGGGAACGAAAGAGAAAUUGAGUUUUCCAUCAUCCCCCUAAUUAAGGUUUUCAUGCUUAGUUUAGACAAUUCGGUAUGAGGAUAGCAAAUCAAAUGCGAAAUAGGUAUACUAGCGUAAAAGUUUUGUACAUAAAUCACUGUGAAGAUAGAAUCUCUUUAUAAAUUCCUAGAGUAGAUUAAAAGUUGUAUUAUUGCUGUUCCGACUGAAUCAAAAAGCCAAACACUCCUACUAAACAUAAAACUUUUGUGCCAAUUUGUGAAGUUUGUGUACCACCUCCAUUAAGCUUAAUAUAAGAUAAAGAAAAACUUACUUUUAAGUCAAACGCUCCGACUACAUUCUAAGCUUUUCCGACUCUUCCCUCCCCAAAAAACACAACACAGAAACAACAGCUUUACUAGAACCCGAACUGAACCCCGAACGAAAACCGACACACGAAUACACCAAAAACUCCCGAAAAUUCACCACUACUCACCACAACCCUAGAAAACAACAAACAAUACAAAACAAAACCAAACACACAAAAAAAACAAAUCAAAUCCUUCUGUUUCGUAGUAAAACACACCAAACCAAAAUGUAUUGUGUGGCGAUUUUUCUUCUCUUCUUCAAUCAACGUCCAACCAUACCAACAACAUCUUCAACAACAACAACAACAAUCUACUACUUCAAAAAAUAAUAUCAACAAUCAUCAAACAAAACUGACACCCAAACAACUGGAUGAUUUCAAAAUAAAACAAAAAAACGAACAUAACCAAUCCGAAAUGUCAUCGGAAAUUCGGCCAUCGGGGGAAAUGCAUCGUGGCAUCGGAUGGAUGGAUGAAUUUCUUUAUUCCUUAGGAAAUUUCCCUCUGCUCGGAGAUGGCAUCGGAGCUGCGGUUCGCGUUGAAACGUAAUCGAUCGUCCCAGAAAAACGUGGCCACCAGUCACAACACCACUCUGAGCUCCCGGGCCUCUCCAAAAGAUUCCGAACCAUCGUCCGAAC